AGUGAACGCUGGCGGCAGGCCUAACACAUGCCAGUCGAGCGGCAGCGGGUCCUUCGGGAUGCCGGCGAGCGGCGGACGGGUGAGGAAUACAUCGGAAUCUGCCCUGUCGUGGGGGAUAACCUAGGGAAACUUAGGCUAAUACCGCAUACGACCUACGGGUGAAAGCGGGGGAUCGCAAGACCUCGCGCGACAGGAUGAGCCGAGGUCCGAUUAGCUAGUUGGCGGGGUAAAGGCCCACCAAGGCGACGAUCGGUAGCUGGUCUGAGAGGAUGAUCAGCCACACUGGGACUGAGACACGGCCCAGACUCCUACGGGAGGCAGCAGUGGGGAAUAUUGGACAAUGGGCGCAAGCAUGAUCCAGCCAUGCCGCGUGGGUGAAGAAGGCCUUCGGGUUGUAAAGCCCUUUUGUCCGGGAAGAAAUCGUCUGGGCUAAUACCCCGGGCGGAUGACGGUACCGGAAGAAUAAGCACCGGCUAACUUCGUG
RNAcentral lists this ribosomal RNA (484 nucleotides) under uncultured bacterium. RNAcentral describes it as "partial 16S ribosomal RNA". It matches the Rfam family "Bacterial small subunit ribosomal RNA", at positions 30 to 507 of the family's 1533-position model. The record is from RNAcentral.